Molecule: long non-coding RNA, 343 nt
Filed under: Cricetulus griseus (Chinese hamster)
Lineage: Eukaryota; Metazoa; Chordata; Mammalia; Rodentia; Cricetidae
Description: lncRNA (ENSCGRG00015034693.1)
Source: RNAcentral
CUGGACAAUUGAGCCUCAGGUGCUCUAGGUCUCUCACUAACCUAGAGCUUUCCAAGUAGCCUGUGGAUCUGUCUGUCUCUGCUACCUCAGCAAUACAAACGGGGGAGCCAGUUCAAUUGCUUGGGAAAGGAAGCAACACAGACGCCCGCAAACCUUGUUUUGGGGCAUGCCAGUGAGUCUCUGCUUUCCAACUCUACCCACAGAUGACCUUGUCCUUGCCUUGACUGCUAUUCAUAUCAUUUAAGGUGAGGAAAGUGAGGUCAAGAAUGAUUUGAUGACCUGCUCAAAGUCACACAGUAAGUGGCAUGGCUUGGGUUUAAACCCAGGCAGCCUGAUUUCAGAG